Molecule: ribosomal RNA, 274 nt
Filed under: uncultured bacterium
Lineage: Bacteria
Description: partial 16S ribosomal RNA
Rfam family: Bacterial small subunit ribosomal RNA
Source: RNAcentral
AUACGGAGGGUGCAAGCGUUACUCGGAAUCACUGGGCGUAAAGCGCGCGCAGGCGGCUUGAUAAGUUGGAUGUGAAAGCCUACGGCUCAACCGUAGAACUGCAUCCAAAACUGUCAGGCUAGAGUGUGGGAGAGGAAGAUGGAAUUAGUUGUGUAGGGGUAAAAUCCGUAGAGAUAACUAGGAAUACCAAAAGCGAAGGCAAUCUUCUGGAACACUACUGACGCUGAGGCGCGAAGGCGUGGGGAGCAAACAGAAUUAGAAACCCCGGUAGUCC